This 253-nucleotide ribosomal RNA is filed under the name uncultured bacterium. RNAcentral describes it as "partial 16S ribosomal RNA". It matches the Rfam family "Bacterial small subunit ribosomal RNA", at positions 524 to 776 of the family's 1533-position model. The record is from RNAcentral.
UACGAGGGGGGCGAGCGUUGUUCGGAAUUAUUGGGCGUAAAGGGUGCGUAGGCGGUUUGGUAAGUCUUAUGUGAAAUCUACAGGCUCAACUUGUAGUCUGCAUGAGAAACUGCCGGGCUUGAGUGUGGGAGAGGUGAGUGGAAUUCCUGGUGUAGCGGUGAAAUGCGUAGAUAUCAGGAAGAACACCCGUGGCUAAGGCGGCUCUCUAGUACGGUACUGACGCUGAGACGCGAAAGCGUGGGGAGCGAACAGG